CUGACGGAGCAUGCCGCGUGGAGGAUGAAAGCCUGUGGGUCGUAAACUCCUUUUCUCAGAGAAGAAAUUUGGACGGUACCCAAAGAAUAAACCUCCGCUAACUCCCUGCCCACCACCCCCGUAAUACCGAAGAAGCCAGCGUUUUCCCGAAUUGAUUGGGCGUAAAGCGUCUGUAGGUGGUUUCAUAAUUCCACUGUUAAAGAAUCAGGCUUAACCCCUGGAAGGCCGUGGAAACCUAUGAAGCUUGAUUACGGUAGGGGCAGAGGGAAUUCCCGGUGUAGCGGUGAAAUGCGUAAAGAUCGGGAAGAACACCAAUGGCGAAAGCACUCUGCUGGGCCGAAACUGACACUGAGAGACGAAAGCUAGGGGAGCAAAUGGGAUUAGAUACCCCAGUAGUCA
This 399-nucleotide ribosomal RNA is filed under the name uncultured Chlorophyta. RNAcentral describes it as "bacterial SSU rRNA". It matches the Rfam family "Bacterial small subunit ribosomal RNA", at positions 383 to 796 of the family's 1533-position model. Lineage: Eukaryota; Viridiplantae; Chlorophyta. The record is from RNAcentral.